RNAcentral lists this long non-coding RNA (1156 nucleotides) under Helianthus annuus (common sunflower). RNAcentral's name for it is "hypothetical non coding rna". Lineage: Eukaryota; Viridiplantae; Streptophyta; Magnoliopsida; Asterales; Asteraceae. The record is from RNAcentral.
CAAACCACUCACUCAUUCCCUCCAACUCAAUCCACCAGCCUUCCCCCAAAUCCCACGACGCAGCCGGAGUCAUCUCACCUCCUCAACCGCUUGCUCGCUGCACCACGUCUGCUGCACCAGGUACUUCCCCAAACCCUAGACUGACACCGCACACUACGCCGGACCACCUCCUCUGUGCCGCUGCAUACCUCGCCGAACCACCUCUUACGCCGGACGACCAGCAAUUGCAGGAAGCAGUCCUUGAAGAGUUGAAGCUCAGAAGAAUGCCAAAAUUGAGGUAGUGAAAGACACACCUGACGAGAUUUUGUACGGUGAAGCCUUACCCAAAAGAGAUGAAAUGUGACGUUGAGGUACAGACACGACAACGGCCACUCUAACAUGGGCUUUAGCUUUACUAGUCAACCACCCUGUGGUCUUAAAAAUAGCCCAACAGAAGCUUGAAAACCCUAACUAGGAUCUCUUAACCCUAAUCCCUAAAUCAUAACCCUUAAACCUUAAAUAUAUUAGGGUUUGGCUUUUAGGGUUUAGCUUUAGGGUUUAGGGUUUAGCUUUAGGUUUAACCUUUAGGGUUUAGCUUUUAGGGUUUAUAGUUUAGAUUUUACGGUUUAGCUUAGGUUUUAGCCUUAUUUUUUAGCUUUAGGGUUUAGAGUUUAGGAGUUAGAAUUUAGGGUUUAGGGUUAAGAGAUCCUAGUUAGGGUUAGACGAGCGAUAAAUCAUAUAAGUCAUAACAUUAAAGAGUCUUCUGAAAAGAAAAUAAACGGCGUUUUGAUUAUUUAGAUUGAGUUCUUUUAACGUAAACUAAUAGGUGAAACUCACGCGUUGAGGCGAGGAUAUUAGAGUACGUAAGCCUUUGUUUUGACAACUAAACAAAAUAAAAUACAAUGGUUUUAUUACACAAAAGUUUUAUGUUGUAACUCAAAAAAUAAAGUCAUAUUUUAUAUCGAUCGAAGAUCAUAAAAACCAUUAAUGAUACUGAUACCGGUAACACGGAUACUGGUAACGAUGUUGUUCGGUCAAUACCAACUCGGUUCAUCAUCGUACCUCUAUUUCAUAUACAUGUCCAAUUUCAACAAAACUUAUAUCCGAAUGUCAAGAAAAUAUAUUUAGGCAACGACGCAUUUAGUGGGGAUUAAAAUUUGUAAGGCUUGGUUUCGAA